Molecule: long non-coding RNA, 246 nt
Filed under: Sus scrofa (pig)
Lineage: Eukaryota; Metazoa; Chordata; Mammalia; Artiodactyla; Suidae
Description: lncRNA (ENSSSCG00060062652.1)
Source: RNAcentral
AUGAGUACAGCUCUCAAAGUGGAAGAAAAGAUCAAUCUUUCUUUUCCCCAGUGGUCUCGUAUUUUUAAAUGUAAGUUGUAUUUUCUUUCUGGAUUUGAAAGCAUUGCUCUACCCACACCCUCAAGAAAUUCAAAUCCUCUUGACAGCCGUAUCCCACUCACAUUUGCUUAUAGGUCCAAAUAAAAACAUGUUCUCUUCUCUUGUAGAUGAGUCAUCAGUGAAUCAUAAAAUAUUGCAAAUAUUCUG